This 302-nucleotide ribosomal RNA is filed under the name Enterococcus casseliflavus. RNAcentral's name for it is "bacterial SSU rRNA". It matches the Rfam family "Bacterial small subunit ribosomal RNA", at positions 66 to 350 of the family's 1533-position model. The record is from RNAcentral. Lineage: Bacteria; Bacillati; Bacillota; Bacilli; Lactobacillales; Enterococcaceae.
GCUUUUUCUUUCACCGGAGCUUGCUCCAUCGAAAGAAAAAGAGUGGCGAACGGGUGAGUAACACGUGGGUAACCUGCCCAUCAGAAGGGGAUAACACUUGGAAACAGGUGCUAAUACCGUAUAACACUAUUUUCCGCAUGGAAGAAAGUUGAAAGGCGCUUUUGCGUCACUGAUGGAUGGACCCGCGGUGCAUUAGCUAGUUGGUGAGGUAACGGCUCACCAAGGCAACGAUGCAUAGCCGACCUGAGAGGGUGAUCGGCCACACUGGGACUGAGACACGGCCCAGACUCCUACGGGAGGCA